RNAcentral lists this unclassified non-coding RNA (564 nucleotides) under Hevea brasiliensis (rubber tree). Lineage: Eukaryota; Viridiplantae; Streptophyta; Magnoliopsida; Malpighiales; Euphorbiaceae. The record is from RNAcentral.
GAAAAGCAAGAACCUGUGGUGGCGCGUGGGCAGCGAGCGGCGGAGACACGGCGGCGUUUGCAAUAAAUUUUUCCGGUGGCCGUGAAAUGGGUUCGAGAGAGCGAAAGAAAGCCGCAGCUUCUUCUCAUCAAAAGUCUAAAGAAUUUCGUGCAUCCACAAGCUCUAGUGCUGUAGUGAAUGUGGAGAAUUUAGAGAGAGGUUUUCUUAUAAAUGUAUUUUUGGAAAGAAAUUCACCAGGAUUGUUGGUUCGAAUUCUAGAAGCCUUUGAGAAAUUAGGGCUUGAAGUCCUCGAUGCUGACGUGUCUUGUUCUGAUUGUUUCCAACUCCAAGCUGUUGGGGAAGAGAAUGAAGGGACAAAAAUCAUAAAGGCCCAAGUGGUGAAAAAUGCAGUAAAGCAAGCAAUCAAGGAAUGGAGUGAAAGUAAUGGGCAAGCAUGAAAUAUAUAAUAUUUAUAUUACAAUUAUUUAUUUUUCCUUUUUUUCUUUUUCCCCAAACAGAACAUCUCUUCUGUGUAUAGGGUAACCAAAAUUUGAACUCUCUUUCAAGUGUAGAACUCAAAAAAAU